RNAcentral lists this long non-coding RNA (489 nucleotides) under Gallus gallus (chicken). RNAcentral describes it as "long non-coding RNA NONGGAT006674". The record is from RNAcentral. Lineage: Eukaryota; Metazoa; Chordata; Aves; Galliformes; Phasianidae.
UGCUGGUGGGAGGCGGGACGGCGGGCAGCGGAGUGAGGGGAGCCCGGGGCUCGUGUCCCGCUGCCGGGUGCGUGGGUGCUUCCUCGCUGCAGCUCAGAAAGUUUUGGGAAGUCUCACGUGUAACUUAUCGAAGUUCUGAGAAUCUAGCGCAGCAUCGAUUGCGUUUCAGGUGCAGUAGUACCGGGCCCCUCCUCGCGCCUGGGGCAGCACGUGCGGCGCUCGGCCUGCGCAGCCUCGGCCCGGAGCUGGGCGGGCCGCGUCAUCGCGGGAACGGUCGCGAGGUGUGAGGAGAACGCACGGAGCUUCUCGCGUCCCUGAGGAGAGCUGAGUGAGUGCGCACGAACGGUGGUCAGAAAAAACGCACGUGGAGGUGGUUGAGUGUGACACACCCAGGCUCACGGGUCAGCUAAAGAAAGCAGAAGUUUUCCUGCAGUCUUUUAAAGCAUCUCAACCCUAAUCUGAAGGCACCACCAUCUAGUGGGAUAAGGA